GGCGCUAUCGUCUAAUGGUUAGGACGGCACCCUUUCAAGGUGCAAACCCGGGUUCGACUCCCGGUAGCGUCACUA
This 75-nucleotide transfer RNA is filed under the name Candidatus Woesebacteria bacterium RIFCSPHIGHO2_01_FULL_39_95. Its description in RNAcentral is "tRNA-Glu". It matches the Rfam family "tRNA". From Rfam's summary of the family: Transfer RNA (tRNA) molecules are approximately 80 nucleotides in length. Their secondary structure includes four short double-helical elements and three loops (D, anti-codon, and T loops). Lineage: Bacteria; Candidatus Woeseibacteriota. RNAcentral also lists the same sequence under 4 other names. The record is from RNAcentral.